GUUCGUAGGUGAACCUGCGGAAGGAUCAUUACCUAGAGUUGUAGGCUUUGCCUGCUAUCUCUUACCCAUGUCUUUUGAGUACUUACGUUUCCUCGGCGGGUCCGCCCGCCGACUGGACAAUUUAAACCCUUUGCAGUUGCAAUCAGCGUCUGAAAAAACUUAAUAGUUACAACUUUCAACAACGGAUCUCUUGGUUCUGGCAUCGAUGAAGAACGCAGCGAAAUGCGAUAAGUAGUGUGAAUUGCAGAAUUCAGUGAAUCAUCGAAUCUUUGAACGCACAUUGCGCCCCUUGGUAUUCCAUGGGGCAUGCCUGUUCGAGCGUCAUUUGUACCUUCAAGCUCUGCUUGGUGUUGGGUGUUUGUCUCGCCUCUGCGUGUAGACUCGCCUCAAAACAAUUGGCAGCCGGCGUAUUGAUUUCGGAGCGCAGUACAUCUCGCGCUUGCACUCAUAACGACGACGUCCAAAAGUACAUUUUUACACUCUUGACCUCGGAUCAGGUAGGGAUACCCGCUGAACUUAAGCAUAUCAAUA
This 531-nucleotide ribosomal RNA is filed under the name fungal endophyte. RNAcentral's name for it is "eukaryotic LSU rRNA". The stretch from base 171 to 324 matches the Rfam family "5.8S ribosomal RNA". The record is from RNAcentral. Lineage: Eukaryota; Fungi.